GAGUUUGAUCAUGGCUCAGAAUCAACGCUGGCGGCGUGCCUAACACAUGCAAGUCGAACGCGAAAGUCCCGCAAGGNAUCAGUAGAGUGGCAAACGGGUGAGUAACACGUGGGUGACCUGCCUUCGAGUGGGGGAUAACGUCCCGAAAGGGUCGCUAAUACCGCAUGACAUCCUGCCUUUGAAGAGGUGGAGAUCAAAGCUGGGGAUCGCAAGACCUAGCGCUUGGAGAGGGGCCCGCGUCUGAUUAGCUAGUUGGUGGGGUAACGGCUCACCAAGGCUACGAUCAGUAUCCGGCCUGAGAGGGCGGACGGACACACUGGGACUGAGACACGGCCCAGACUCCUACGGGAGGCAGCAGUGGGGAAUUGUUCGCAAUGGGCGCAAGCCUGACGACGCAACGCCGCGUGGAGGAUGAAGACCUUCGGGUCGUAAACUCCUUUCGAUCGAGACGAAUGGUCUCCGGGUGAACAAUCCGGGGAAGUGACGGUACCGAGAGAAGAAGCCCCGGCUAACUCCGUGCCAGCAGCCGCGGUAAUACGGGGGGGGCAAGCGUUGUUCGGAAUUACUGGGCGUAAAGGGCUCGUAGG
RNAcentral lists this ribosomal RNA (587 nucleotides) under uncultured bacterium. RNAcentral describes it as "bacterial SSU rRNA". It matches the Rfam family "Bacterial small subunit ribosomal RNA", at positions 9 to 575 of the family's 1533-position model. The record is from RNAcentral.